UACAGAGGGUGCAAGCGUUGUUCGGAAUUAUUGGGCGUAAAGCGCGUGUAGGCGGCUUUGUAAGUCUGUCGUGAAAGCCCCGGGCUUAACCUGGGAAUUGCGAUGGAGACUGCAAGGCUUGAAUCUGGCAGAGGGGGGUAGAAUUCCACGUGUAGCAGUGAAAUGCGUAGAGAUGUGGAGGAACACCGAUGGCGAAGGCAGCCCCCUGGGUCAAGAUUGACGCUCAUGCACGAAAGCGUGGGGAGCAAACAGG
This 253-nucleotide ribosomal RNA is filed under the name uncultured bacterium. RNAcentral describes it as "partial 16S ribosomal RNA". It matches the Rfam family "Bacterial small subunit ribosomal RNA", at positions 524 to 776 of the family's 1533-position model. The record is from RNAcentral.